GAUGAACGCUAGCGACAGGCCUAACACAUGCAAGUCGAGGGGCAGCGGGGAGUGGCAACACUCUGCCGGCGACCGGCGCACGGGUGAGUAACGCGUAUGCAACCUGCCCGCACCAGGGGGAUAACCGGGAGAAAUCCCGUCUAAUACCGCGUAACGCCUCAAGGGGGCAUCCCCAUGAGGCCAAAGGGUUUCCGGGAGCGGAUGGGCAUGCGUGACAUUAGCUAGUUGGCGGGGUAACGGCCCACCGAGGCGACGAUGGAUAGGGGUUCUGAGAGGAAGGUCCCCCCACAUUGGAACUGAGACACGGUCCAAACUCCUACGGGAGCAGCAGUGAGGAAUAUUGGUCAAUGGGCGAGAGCCUGAACCAGCCAAGUAGCGCGAAGGAUGACUGCCCUA
RNAcentral lists this ribosomal RNA (396 nucleotides) under uncultured bacterium. RNAcentral's name for it is "bacterial SSU rRNA". It matches the Rfam family "Bacterial small subunit ribosomal RNA", at positions 28 to 419 of the family's 1533-position model. The record is from RNAcentral.